RNAcentral lists this ribosomal RNA (253 nucleotides) under uncultured bacterium. RNAcentral describes it as "partial 16S ribosomal RNA". It matches the Rfam family "Bacterial small subunit ribosomal RNA", at positions 524 to 776 of the family's 1533-position model. The record is from RNAcentral.
UACGUAGGUGGCAAGCGUUGUCCGGAUUUAUUGGGUUUAAAGGGUGCGUAGGUGGUCUAUUAAGUCAGUGCUGAAAUAUCCCGGCUUAACCGGGAGGGUGGCAUUGAUACUGAUGGACUUGAGUAAAGUUGAGGUAGGCGGAAUUGACGGUGUAGCGGUGAAAUGCUUAGAUAUCGUCAAGAACACCGAUAGCGAAGGCAGCUUACUAAGCUUUAACUGACACUGAGGCACGAAAGUGUGGGGAUCAAACAGG